CUCUGAACCUCACCCCAGGGAUUUGCCAUUUCUCUUGGACCUUUAAUGUGAUCUGGUUCAGGUCGCCACAGACAUUACUCAGUAUUUCACUUAUUAGGGUUUUCUCAGGUAAAUUAAAGAAUUUACCUAAAACCACAAAGCAAAGAAAUAAUUGCCUGCCAUACUCUUUACUCAGGUCAAUGUUCCGCUGGAGUCUUCACUCUGCCUCCCUCAGAUCUCUACAUAAGCUAUUCAAGAAAGCCACAAUGUUGUCAACAUGGGGAAAAAAUAUCACAUAUUCUUUAUAUAGAAGUUUACCUAGCAGACAUAUCUUUAACCAGUGGCUUCGGGUUUCUGUCUGAACGUAGAGCUGAAAACCACGUACCAGGAGUGCUGAUACACCCGACAGCAGAGGUAAGACCAACUCUUCUGCUCUGAAUGACCCACC
RNAcentral lists this long non-coding RNA (427 nucleotides) under Rattus norvegicus (Norway rat). Its description in RNAcentral is "long non-coding RNA NONRATT031994". The record is from RNAcentral. Lineage: Eukaryota; Metazoa; Chordata; Mammalia; Rodentia; Muridae.